AGAGCGAACGCUGGCGGCAGGCCUAACACAUGCAAGUCGAGCGCCCGUAGCAAUACGGGAGCGGCAGACGGGAUAGUAACACGUGGGAACGCGCCCUUCGGUUCGGAAUAACUCAGGGAAACUUGAGCUAAUACCGGAUACGCCCUUACGGGGAAAGAUUUAUUGCCGAAGGAACGGCCCGCGUCCGAUUAGCUAGUUGGUGAGGUAAUGGCUCACCAAGGCGACGAUCGGUAGCUGGUCUGAGAGGAUGACCAGCAUCACUGGGACUGAGACACGGCCCAGACUCCUACGGGAGGCAGCAGUGGGAAUAUUGGACAAUGGGCGCAAGCCUGAUCCAGCCAUGCCGCGUGGAUGAUGAAGGCCUUAGGGUUGUAAAGUCCUUUUAACGGGAAGAUAAUGACGGUACCGUAGAAUAAGCCCGGCUAACUUCGCGCCAGCAGCCGC
RNAcentral lists this ribosomal RNA (444 nucleotides) under uncultured bacterium. RNAcentral describes it as "SSU rRNA". It matches the Rfam family "Bacterial small subunit ribosomal RNA", at positions 26 to 518 of the family's 1533-position model. The record is from RNAcentral.